UACGGGAGGCAGCAGUGGGGAAUAUUGCACAAUGGGGGAAACCCUGAUGCAGCCAUGCCGCGUGUGUGAAGAAGGCCUUCGGGUUGUAAAGCACUUUCAGUUGUGAGGAAGGUGGUGUCGUUAAUAGCGGCAUCAUUUGACGUUAGCAACAGAAGAAGCACCGGCUAACUCCGUGCCAGCAGCCGCGGUAAUACGGAGGGUGCGAGCGUUAAUCGGAAUUACUGGGCGUAAAGCGCAUGCAGGUGGUUUGUUAAGUCAGAUGUGAAAGCCCGGGGCUCAACCUCGGAACUGCAUUUGAAACUGGCAGGCUAGAGUCUUGUAGAGGGGGUAGAAUUUCAGGUGUAGCGGUGAAAUGCGUAGAGAUCUGAAGGAAUACCAGUGGCGAAGGCGGCCCCCUGGACAAAGACUGACGCUCAGAUGCGAAAGCGUGGGGAGCAAACAGGAUUAGAUACCCUGUAG
This 459-nucleotide ribosomal RNA is filed under the name uncultured bacterium. RNAcentral describes it as "bacterial SSU rRNA". It matches the Rfam family "Bacterial small subunit ribosomal RNA", at positions 340 to 793 of the family's 1533-position model. The record is from RNAcentral.